Molecule: long non-coding RNA, 2922 nt
Organism: Ostrea edulis (European flat oyster)
Lineage: Eukaryota; Metazoa; Mollusca; Bivalvia; Ostreida; Ostreidae
Exons: 2
Source: RefSeq, a predicted model, not a curated record
AAAUUCGGAUUGAAAUGAAAGUCUGCUUUACUUGCAAUUGUCAUCUAAAUAUAGUUCCAUUAUCAUGCAUGCACAUAUACACAGCAACUUUUAGUCUACAGAGUCCUUUGAAUUUUUUGAUAUUUUUAAUGUUUCUACUCAGAUUAUGAACGCAUAAACCAUUGUAAAACUUGCGGGUUUCCAUCUGUGAGCAAACCCUUUCCCACUUAUUCUCCUUCCCGCGACCCUUUUACAUCUCAAGGGUCACGGGAAGGAGAAAAGGUGGAUCAGGGUGAGAUGGGAACCCACGAUUCCUGAUAUUCUAAUCAGUUGUUGUAUUAACAGAGCUCUCCUAUGAACGUAAUCUCGGCAAGACUCGUCGAAGCUAGUCAUAGGACAUAAUUAUUCGCCAUUUUCAAAAUGACUGCCAUGAAACGCACGUCCACUUAGUGAAGUUUGAAAGUUGUUUGCUGUUGAUAGAAUUAAAAUCUUACCUCAGUAUUUGGUCAGAUUUCCUUUCAUCAUGACUACCUCCUUUUGUCGCCCUGGUAUAGAAUUAUAAAGGUCCUGUACAUAGUUUAAUGGGAUGUUUUCCCACACAGUCCGAAUUUCCGCUAUAAGAUCUUGUCGAGAAUUUAUAAAAUGGACACGGGUUUCUAGUGUUCUUUUCAAAUGUAACCAUAUGUUCUCUAUUAUAUUUAAAUCUGGUGACUGUGCUGGCCAUGUUGUUGUAUUAAUAUUGUUGUCAGCUACAUAAUCUUUAAUAAUUUUGGCUCGAUGAACAGGGGCAUUGUCGUCCAUGAAAAUGUAGUUGUUCUCCGAGAAAUGCCUGGCUAUUACUAGCCAUAUAUUAUCAUCAAUUAUUUGUAAAUAUCUUUGAGCAUUAAUGUUACCUUGGAUAUCAGUCAAAGUGCCCAUACCUUGAAAACAAAUGCAUCCCCAGAUCAUAACACUUAACUUUCGUCGUGGAGCAGGACACGCGAGUUGGGGGUUAUACUUUUCAUCCGCUUUUCGCCACACGUAUACCUUGUUGUUAUCCCCAAUAGCAAUCUGACUCUCAUCACUGAAAAUCCAUUUACACCAUUCUUGCUGAACUGUCCAAUCUUUCCUCUUCUUGCACCAUUUUACACGUUCUUUUUUAUUCACUUCACGAACUGCCACUUUCUUCUUUGCAACCCUCUGAACAUAUCCUAAUUUUUUUUAUUUUUCUUUCAACAGUUUUUGUACAAAAUUGAUGAUUCCUAUUUUCAUUAAUAAUGCCUGUUAUGUCUUUGUAAGUACGUCUCCGAUUUUCUUUGAUGACCCUUGAAAGUUUGUUAGAAUCCCUCUGCGUGAAUAGACAUUACGGCCCCUUCCCGUGCGAUUUUUCACAUCAGAAUGCUGUUUGAAUUUCUUAAUAACACUUCGCACGGUAGAUCUGGGUAUUCCUAAAGUCCUUAAUAAGUUAGAAACAUUUCCGUUCACUUUGUGUGAAUUUAUUAUGAGAUUUCUGACUUUAAUGCUCAGUUCUUUCCCUUUACGACCCAUUUCAAUCAACAAUGUUUACUAAGUUUAUGAUCAUAGCAGACGAAAAAAUGUAUGUGUACACGUCAUCAAUUUUAGUAGCUUGACCCUGUUGUAAAAAUAUGAAGGGGAAAUUUGUUGUCUAUUUAUAGCGCGGGGGUCUAUUUUCAGUUCCUAAUCGCAAAUACAACGCCAUUUGCGCACGGGGUGGCGAAUAAUUAUGUCCCAUGACUGUAGAUGUUUGGACUGACGCCUCUUAUGGAAGAGACAUCAAGCUGUCCAAAUAUCCAGCCUUGAUGAAUCUCGCUGAGAUUGAUUAUGAAGGGCAAUCUGACUGAUUAAAACAGCUUCAGGGCCAAAGACAUUGAUUAGACUGAUGACCUAGAUAACCCGGUAGAGCUGCUGACUGGAGAGCUGUGAGUCCCUUGUUCAAAUCCUGGUCUUGUCUAUUACAGUUUCUCCUCUUCUGACAAUCUGUAUCACAUGUUGCUCAUACAUGCCAACUUUUAAAAAUACCCAUGGGGGAUUUUGCGCGCUGCGACCUUUUUUCAAAGCUCAAAAUUCACGACAUUUUACCAUUAAAAUGAAUAUUUGUCUUUUCAAAAUCAAGUGUGUUUGACCAUUAACUUUAACAAAACUAUAAAACACAAAACACUUUGAAAGAUAUACAUAAAUACUUUCAUACAUGCCAACUUUCCCGAUUUAGGCGGGAUCUUCCCGAUUUUACCCUCCGGUCCCGCUUUCCCGAUCGGGAAAGCAAAAUUACCCUAAAAUCCCGAUUUGAAAUUUUUUCCGACCAAAAUUUCCGAUUUCACGAUUGAAAACGAGUUUGAAAGCGGGAUAAUCGUGAAAUCUCGUGACCAGAAUUGGAAAUCCCGCGUCAUUUCUGAACUGGCCAAUCAGAAAUCGGGACAAUAGUCAGCCAUUGCUGUUUACCUGUGUCGCAUGGUGUCGGGUUGGCCUGUGUCGGGGUGUUUAUUGGACAGUACGAAGCAUGUUUUGAUAGUAAUUAAUCGGGAAGACGGAUUUCAAAUUGACCUAUCCUUUACACAAACGUGAAUGACAACGAUGCUAGUGUCAUCACCAAACAAUCGGACAUUCCGCCUCUCGCUGACAGCAUCCAAAAUUUGCAAUAAGAUGUCAUGGGUGCAAAGGUUUUGUUCGCAAACUUCAUAGCAGGGCAGAUCACUCCUUUUUUGGUUGCAAUGCAGAUUAUUCCACCAGUCUCUGCAAGCCCAUGUUUACAGACAAGCAAGAUCGCCUUUGCAGUCGUACCUAAAUGCAUGUGAUUUAAUUUAAAUUUUGAUAUAUAGACCGGCCAAUGUUUAUUGUAUGGUGUAAAAGGAUGCAACCUUAAAUAUUAUUUGAUAUUAUGUAUGUGACUUGUUGGAGAAGAUUUUUUGCUGAAUAGAUGAUUUUAAUAAAAUAUUAAUGUAUAUC